This 234-nucleotide ribosomal RNA is filed under the name uncultured bacterium. RNAcentral describes it as "partial 16S ribosomal RNA". It matches the Rfam family "Bacterial small subunit ribosomal RNA", at positions 104 to 334 of the family's 1533-position model. The record is from RNAcentral.
CGGGACGGGGUGGAGUAAUGUCUGGGAAACUGCCUGAUGGAGGGGGAUAACUACUGGAAACGGUAGCUAAUACCGCAUAACGUCGCAAGACCAAAGAGGGGGACCUCGGGCCUCUUGCCAUCGGAUGUGCCCAGAUGGGAUUAGCUAGUAGGUGGGGUAACGGCUCACCUAGGCGACGAUCCCUAGCUGGUCUGAGAGGAUGACCAGCCACACUGGAACUGAGACACGGUCCAG